CCAGCACCGAAGCCUGCAGCGGGUUCGCUGUUAGGCAAUGUGGUGUGUAGGUCGGCUAGCGGGACCAUCACUCCACCUGAAGUCCAGCAUUGAGUAUGGUUGUCAUUGGAUUUGGCCCAUAGAGGGUGAGAGGCCCGUGCAGGUGGAGGUUCAGACAGGUAUGAUGGUUCACCAGGCCGACCUAAGAGUCGGGUUGUUUGAGAUUGCAGCCCAAAGUGGGUGGUAAACUCCAUCCAAGGCUAAAUACAGGCACGAGUCCGAUAGCGAACAAGUACCGUGAGGGAAAGUUGAAAAGUACUCUGAAGAGAGAGUAAACAGUACGUGAAGCCGCAUGCAGGUAAACGGGUGGCGUCAAGCUGCGAGCCCGGAGGAUUCAGCUGGCUAGGUUGUAGAGUACGUGCCUGGCGCGUCAAUUGGCCGGAGUAGAAUGUGUUGGUCUGUCCCUCUCUUAGGGAUGGGGCAUGGCUGUGGUGGUGUCGGUGGAUGGUGUGCGUGUUAGUAGUGGAUCUGGAGGGGGUAGUAAGAUUAAGCAGGUUGGCCUCGGCCCGCUUGCUUGGUUUGCUCUCUCUUCUCCCAUUACUCGCGUACAUUGUUAGCUGGCGUGGCUGCCGCGGUUAAUGCUAUGCGUGCCGGGUGGGUGCCGGUGCAUGCCACACGUCUGUGGGGCCGCCUGGUCAGUGCACUUUCUCCGUGGUGAACACCACGACCNGGUGGUAUUGCCAGUCUGCCGUGGUCAAGUCGCGUCCACCUGGCAGCCCGUAUGUUAGUUGGCUGAUUGCCUUGUGUAAUUGGUCUACCGAUAGACGGGUCAGGUGGGUGCGAUCGCAGGUGGAGCGGGUGAACGGCGUAGCGGUGCUUCGGUGUCGCUGCGUGUUAUCGUGCACUCACCAUCGACCAACGAGUUGUCGUGCUGUGCUGCGCUGUGACCGCGCCGACUGUCGACAGCUCGGCGGACCGCGGUAGUGAAAGUGACUGUGCAAGGCACCGAGUGUGUCCACCUCAUCUGUCUGUGUGUGCAUGCUGCUGUUUCGGUAGUAUGCACACAGGGAUUGACAUGGUAUCCGGCACGCAUGUCACAGGUGCCAGUGUUGUAGUAAGACAGAGCGAGGCGCGUCGCUGUCUGUGGGCGUUGGGUGUGAUUGUCGUGUCGCCUGCAAAAAGUAGGUCCGGCAGUGAUCUAACGUCAUUACAGUGGGCAGUGUAUUACGUUGCUUCGAGUGCAUGUGAUACCGGGGGUGCAAUAGUCAGUGGUGCUGUGGUAGACGAGCUACCCGACCCGUCUUGAAACACGGACCAAGGAGUUUAACAUGUGUGCAAGUCAAAGGGCCUCACGAAGCCCCAAGGCGCAGUGAAAGUGAAGCUCGCGUUAUGAUGUAUAGCGCCUCUCUGUCCUGUCUGUCCUUGGCUCUAUGCUAAGGGUGGGCAGGUUAGAGUGGGUUGUUAUAUUGACCGACGCGACGAGGUGAGAUCCCACUGUUAUAACUCGCUGCAUGCCGUGGCCAGAUGAGGCCAGGUUAAGAGCGGUGGGCGCAUCACCGGCCCGUCCCAUGAUGUGGUCAUUGGCAAUUAUUGGCGUUGUGGUGGUGCAAUUGUACGCGUGCAUCACCAUGUGUACGAUGCAGUUGUGCCCUCGCGCCGGCCGGUGCGUCAUCGGGGCGGAGCAGGAGCAUACAUGUUGAGACCCGAAAGAUGGUGAACUAUGCUUGCGUAGGUUGAAGCCAGAGGAAACUCUGGUGGAGGACCGUAGCGAUUCUGACGUGCAAAUCGAUCGUCAAAC
This 1777-nucleotide ribosomal RNA is filed under the name Mathevotaenia symmetrica. RNAcentral describes it as "partial 28S ribosomal RNA". It matches the Rfam family "Eukaryotic large subunit ribosomal RNA", at positions 109 to 910 of the family's 3401-position model. Lineage: Eukaryota; Metazoa; Platyhelminthes; Cestoda; Cyclophyllidea; Anoplocephalidae. The record is from RNAcentral.